AGAUGACAAUGGUGACCAGAACUCUAGAGGACAAGCUGGUGCUUUGGCAAAUCUGUAGAAGAACAGUCACCUGACCAGAAGUCACAGAAGAUGAAUGAAGAUGUGGCUCAGCCAAGCAACCAGAGUACAUGGGCAGCUGUUCUUAAAGAGUCAGCAGCAGUCGAAUACCAUGAGCCGUUUACCACCAUUAUGCAUAAAGAAGAUAUUUGAUGGAGUCAAAGAUUACUCACCGGUACCAAAAAAAAACAUUUCUAUGUUUCUCUGAAAAUUUUGAAAGUAUCUUGUCAACAUCGACUUCUAACAACAUUACUUGUUUUGCGCUCCAGUGAAUGUAUGCCUGGGAGACGCAUCCUACUUCAUCUAUCUUAUUAAUUGUUUUUUCUCGUGUCAGGUCUGGUUUUGAUAAUUGUUUUAUUAAACUUAUUGAAAUUGCUGCUGGCACCAGAAUAUUUUCACUUUACAGAGUAGGGUUUAAUUUUAACUAUUUCAACACACAAUGACUAUAAUAAAUCCUAAUAUUGCAUUUUGUAUUAUUCUCUAUAUUUUUGUUGUUUUUUUUUUUUAUCUGAAAAACUAUGCUGAAAUAUCGUCAUUAUUGGUACCGCCAUUACAAGAACUCUAAGACCAUACGACAGCCACCGCCAUCAAAAAACAAUAUAAUUCAUGGACUAGCAGGAAGCACAGUCUUAUAGGAGUACUCCGCCCCUAGACAUCUUAUCCUCUAUCCAAAGGAUAGGGGAUAAGAUGUCUGAUUGCGGGGAUCCCACUGCUGAGGACCCCCGCAAUCUCCCUGCUGCACCCGCCAUUCGUUUAGA
Long non-coding RNA from Hyla sarda, 815 nucleotides. RefSeq lists it as uncharacterized. NCBI's taxonomy places the organism in Eukaryota, Metazoa, Chordata, Amphibia, Anura, Hylidae. The record is from RefSeq and is a predicted model, not a curated record. The transcript is spliced from 4 exons.